Molecule: ribosomal RNA, 1129 nt
Filed under: Staphylococcus aureus
Lineage: Bacteria; Bacillati; Bacillota; Bacilli; Caryophanales; Staphylococcaceae
Description: bacterial SSU rRNA
Source: RNAcentral
AGAACGGACGAGAAGCUUGCUUCUCUGAUGUUAGCGGCGGACGGGUGAGUAACACGUGGAUAACCUACCUAUAAGACUGGGAUAACUUCGGGAAACCGGAGCUAAUACCGGAUAAUAUUUUGAACCGCAUGGUUCAAAAGUGAAAGACGGUCUUGCUGUCACUUAUAGAUGGAUCCGCGCUGCAUUAGCUAGUUGGUAAGGUAACGGCUUACCAAGGCAACGAUGCAUAGCCGACCUGAGAGGGUGAUCGGCCACACUGGAACUGAGACACGGUCCAGACUCCUACGGGAGGCAGCAGUAGGGAAUCUUCCGCAAUGGGCGAAAGCCUGACGGAGCAACGCCGCGUGAGUGAUGAAGGUCUUCGGAUCGUAAAACUCUGUUAUUAGGGAAGAACAUAUGUGUAAGUAACUGUGCACAUCUUGACGGUACCUAAUCAGAAAGCCACGGCUAACUACGUGCCAGCAGCCGCGGKAAUACGUAGGUGGCAAGCGUUAUCCGGAAUUAUUGGGCGUAAAGCGCGCGUAGGCGGUUUUUUAAGUCUGAUGUGAAAGCCCACGGCUCAACCGUGGAGGGUCAUUGGAAACUGGAAAACUUGAGUGCAGAAGAGGAAAGUGGAAUUCCAUGUGUAGCGGUGAAAUGCGCAGAGAUAUGGAGGAACACCAGUGGCGAAGGCGACUUUCUGGUCUGUAACUGACGCUGAUGUGCGAAAGCGUGGGGAUCAAACAGGAUUAGAUACCCUGGUAGUCCACGCCGUAAACGAUGAGUGCUAAGUGUUAGGGGGUUUCCGCCCCUUAGUGCUGCAGCUAACGCAUUAAGCACUCCGCCUGGGGAGUACGACCGCAAGGUUGAAACUCAAAGGAAUUGACGGGGGACCCGCACAAGCGGUGGAGCAUGUGGUUUAAUUCGAAGCAACGCGAAGAACCUUACCAAAUCUUGACAUCCUUUUGACAACUCUAGAGAUAGAGCYUUCCCYCUUCGGGGGGACAAAGUGACAGGUGGUGCAUKGGUUUGUCGUCAGCUUCGUGGUCCGUGAGAUGUUGGGGAUUAAGGUCYCGGCAACGGAGCGCRAAKCCCUUUAGGCUAGUUUGGCCAAUCAUUAAGUUGGGGSCACCUYCUAAGAGUUGGARCA